CCUACGGGUGGCAGCAGUGGGGAAUAUUGCACAAUGGGGGCAACCCUGAUGCAGCGACGCCGCGUGCGCGAUGAAGUAUCUCGGUAUGUAAAGCUCUAUCAGCAGGGAAGAAAAUGACGGUACCUGACUAAUAAGCCCCGGCUAACUACGUGCCAGCAGCCGCGGUAAUACGGAGGGGGCUGGCGUUAUCCGGAUUUACUGGGUGUAAAGGGAGCGUAGACGGUCCUUCAAGCCAGAUGUGAAAGGCCGGGGCUCAACCCCGGGACUGCAGUUGGAACUGUAAGGCUAGAGUGUCGUAGAGGCAGGCGGAAUUCCGAGUGUAGCGGUGAAAUGCGUAGAUAUUAGGAGGAACACCAGUGGCGAAGGCGGCCUGCUGGACGAUGACUGACGCUGAGGCUCGAAAGCGUGGGGAGCAAACAGGAUUAGAUACCCUUGUAGUC
This 440-nucleotide ribosomal RNA is filed under the name uncultured bacterium. RNAcentral describes it as "partial 16S ribosomal RNA". It matches the Rfam family "Bacterial small subunit ribosomal RNA", at positions 338 to 795 of the family's 1533-position model. The record is from RNAcentral.